AGAGUUUGAUCCUGGCUCAGGAUGAACGCUAGCGGCAGGCUUAACACAUGCAAGUCGAACGGUAACAUUUCUCGCUUGCGAGAAGAUGACGAGUGGCGCACGGGUGCGUAACGCGUAUACAAUCUGCCUUGAACAAAGGGAUAGCCCAUGGAAACGUGGAUUAAUACCUUAUAAUGUGUAGAGAUGGCAUCAUCAUUACAUCAAAGAUUUAUCGGUUCAAGAGGAGUAUGCGUGACAUUAGCUAGUCGGUGAGGUAACGGCCCACCAAGGCAACGAUGUCUAGGGGUUCUGAGAGGAUGAUCCCCCACACUGGUACUGAGACACGGACCAGACUCCUACGGGAGGCAGCAGUGAGGAAUAUUGCGCAAUGGAGGAAACUCUGACGCAGCCAUGCCGCGUGAAGGAAUGAAGGCCCUAUGGGUUGUAAACUUCUUUUAUAUGGGAAGAAACUUUUCUACGUGUAGAGAACUGACGGUACCAUACGAAUAAGGACCGGCUAACUCCGUGCCAGCAGCCGCGGUAAUACGGAGGGUCCAAGCGUUAUCCGGAUUCAUUGGGUUUAAAGGGUACGUAGGCGGAUAAAUAAGUUAGUGGUGAAAUCCCGAAGCUCAACUUCGGAACUGCCAUUAAAACUGUUUAUCUUGAAUUUGGUUGAAGUGGGCGGAAUAUGACAUGUAGCGGUGAAAUGCAUAGAUAUGUCAUGGAACACCGAUAGUGAAGACAGCUCACUAA
This 732-nucleotide ribosomal RNA is filed under the name uncultured bacterium. RNAcentral's name for it is "bacterial SSU rRNA". It matches the Rfam family "Bacterial small subunit ribosomal RNA", at positions 8 to 732 of the family's 1533-position model. The record is from RNAcentral.